GACGAACGCUGGCGGCGUGCUUAACACAUGCAAGUCGAACGGAAAGGCCUGCUUUCCCUUGUGGAUUGCGGGUACUCGAGUGGCGAACGGGUGAGUAACACGUGAGUGAUCUGCCCCCAACUUGGGUAUAAGCCUGGGAUACUGGGUCUAAUUCCCGAUAGUACGGCAGGGUGGUGCCUGUGUUGGAAAACGACGUGCUAGUGGUUGGGGAUGAGCUCGCGGCCUAUCAGCUUGUUGGUGGGGUAAUGGCCUACCAAGGCGGGGACGGGUAGCCGGCCUGAGAGGAUCGACGGCCACAUUGGGACAGGGAUACGGCCCAGACGCCUACGGGAGGCAGCAGUUGGGAAUAUUGCACAAUGGGCGGAAGCCUGAUGCAGCGACGCCGCGUGGGGGAUGACGGCCUUCGGGUUGUAAACUCCUUUCGACCGCGAGGAAGCCACCUGGUUGGAAGGGUGGUGACGGUAGUGGUAGAAGAAGCACCGGCUAACUACGUG
Molecule: ribosomal RNA, 494 nt
Filed under: uncultured bacterium
Lineage: Bacteria
Description: partial 16S ribosomal RNA
Rfam family: Bacterial small subunit ribosomal RNA
Source: RNAcentral